GUAUCGUGGCGGAGAAAUCUAGCAAUAAUAUUGGAAAUUGUGUGGACCAAAGCUUGUUUGUUGAGUUAAAUUUUUGUUGCUAUUCUGAAAUUGAUUUUAAAGUUAUUCUUGGAUUUUUGAAUCAGCUGCUGGGUUUGUCAAAAUUCGAAUCAGUGUCAAAAAAAUUUGGAUUAUAAUUUUAAGCUACUGGUUCAAUGGAUGUGGAGGUGAUAUGAUGAGUGGUCUCAGCUAUAAUAGUGAUGGUCACCUACGAUGAUUUGCCGGAGAGAUAGG
RNAcentral lists this long non-coding RNA (273 nucleotides) under Nicotiana benthamiana. Its description in RNAcentral is "long non-coding RNA (NBEN_LNC037303)". Lineage: Eukaryota; Viridiplantae; Streptophyta; Magnoliopsida; Solanales; Solanaceae. The record is from RNAcentral.